Molecule: ribosomal RNA, 211 nt
Filed under: uncultured Raoultella sp.
Lineage: Bacteria; Pseudomonadati; Pseudomonadota; Gammaproteobacteria; Enterobacterales; Enterobacteriaceae
Description: partial 16S ribosomal RNA
Rfam family: Bacterial small subunit ribosomal RNA
Source: RNAcentral
CCGCCGCGCGCGGCGGGCUACGGGAGGCAGCAGUGGGGAAUAUUGCACAAUGGGCGCAAGCCUGAUGCAGCCAUGCCGCGUGUAUGAAGAAGGCCUUCGGGUUGUAAAGUACUUUCAGCGAGGAGGAAGGCGUUAAGGUUAAUAACCUUAGUGAUUGACGUUACUCGCAGAAGAAGCACCGGCUAACUCCGUGCCAGCAGCCGCGGUAAUA